This 1149-nucleotide ribosomal RNA is filed under the name Bacillus subtilis. Its description in RNAcentral is "bacterial SSU rRNA". It matches the Rfam family "Bacterial small subunit ribosomal RNA", at positions 191 to 1326 of the family's 1533-position model. The record is from RNAcentral. Lineage: Bacteria; Bacillati; Bacillota; Bacilli; Caryophanales; Bacillaceae.
GGUUCAAACAUAAAAGGUGGCUUCGGCUACCACUUACAGAUGGACCCGCGGCGCAUAGCUAGUUGGUGAGGUAACGGCUCACCAAGGCAACGAUGCGUAGCCGACCUGAGAGGGUGAUCGGCCACACUGGGACUGAGACAAAGCCCAGACUCCUACGGGAGGCAGCAGUAGGGAAUCUUCCGCAAUGGACGAAAGUCUGACGGAGCAACGCCGCGUGAGUGAUGAAGGUUUUCGGAUCGUAAAGCUCUGUUGUUAGGGAAGAACAAGUACCGUUCGAAUAGGGCGGUACCUUGACGGUACCUAACCAGAAAGCCACGGCUAACUACGUGCCAGCAGCCGCGGUAAUACGUAGGUGGCAAGCGUUGUCCGGAAUUAUUGGGGCGUAAAGGGCUCGCAGGCGGUUUCUUAAGUCUGAUGUGAAAGCCCCCGGCUCAACCGGGGAGGGUCAUUGGAAACUGGGGAACUUGAGUGCAGAAGAGGAGAGUGGAAUUCCACGUGUAGCGGUGAAAUGCGUAGAGAUGUGGAGGAACACCAGUGGCGAAGGCGACUCUCUGGUCUGUAACUGACGCUGAGGAGCGAAAGCGUGGGGAGCGAACAGGAUUAGAUACCCUGGUAGUCCACGCCGUAAACGAUGAGUGCUAAGUGUUAGGGGGUUUCCGCCCCUUAGUGCUGCAGCUAACGCAUUAAGCACUCCGCCUGGGGAGUACGGUCGCAAGACUGAAACUCAAAGGAAUUGACGGGGGCCCGCACAAGCGGUGGAGCAUGUGGUUUAAUUCGAAGCAACGCGAAGAACCUUACCAGGUCUUGACAUCCUCUGACAAUCCUAGAGAUAGGACGUCCCCUUCGGGGGCAGAGUGACAGGUGGUGCAUGGUUGUCGUCAGCUCGUGUCGUGAGAUGUUGGGUUAAGUCCCGCAACGAGCGCAACCCUUGAUCUUAGUUGCCAGCAUUCAGUUGGGCACUCUAAGGUGACUGCCGGUGACAAACCGGAGGAAGGUGGUGAAGACGUCAAAUGCAUCAUGCCCCUUAUGACCUGGGCUACACACGUGCUACAAUGGACAGAACAAAGGGCAGCGAAACCGCGAGGUUAAGCCAUUCCCACAAAUCUGUUCUCAGUUCGGAUCGCAGUCUGCAACUCGACUGCGUGUAGC